Molecule: ribosomal RNA, 759 nt
Filed under: Triticum aestivum (bread wheat)
Lineage: Eukaryota; Viridiplantae; Streptophyta; Magnoliopsida; Poales; Poaceae
Description: partial small subunit ribosomal RNA
Source: RNAcentral
AUGGAGCAGGAGGGCACCACAGCCCACCAGCGGCACGGCGGCGGCACCAUCACCAACGCCCUCUCCCUGUUCGCCUCCCGCCUCUCUCACCACAGGUUCGCAGACGAGGAGCUCCGGGUACUGGAGGCGGCGCUCUCCGCCGGCGGCGACGUUGCCGCGCUUCUCAGCACGCGCUCUGCAGCCCGGAAACUUCUGCGUGAGAGCGUGGCCGGGGCGUGCGCCGCGGCUGCGGUCGAGGGGGACGGGGCGAGGCUCUCCGUCGCCGACUUCUUCGCGCGCGCCUUCGCCCUCUCGGGAGAUGUCGAGAGCUGCCUUGCUAUGAGAUAUGAGGCGCUGGUUCUGCGAGAGGCCAAAUACUCCGACGACCUUGAUCUGCAUGUGUUCCAUGAAGAAUGGUUAACCUUUGCACAGGACUCUCUUGAUAAUGGGUUCUACACCAUUGCUUCCAAGGCUUUUGCAAAUGCUCUUGUGCACAUUCAUCCCAGCCACUUGGACUCUACUAAUUCGACUCUGAAGAAGAACAAGGUCAAUGAUAUAAGAGGACUCCAAACCUUGGCCAAGUCAUUAUCUGCACAGCGUUCUGUUCAGACGCAAUCCGCUGAAUACAUGAAAAGGAAAACUUCAGGCGUUAGUGAAAAUUGCAAUUUACACUCAGAAAAACGGAAGUUACCGGCGAACUUGAUGUUUAGGCUGGGGAUCAAAACAAGGAACACACAAAAACUACUUCUUAGCCGCAAGAGAAACUUAGAAGAGGUUUGA